CAAAGCAGCCAUGUCAAGUGGCAAAAAAAGCGAUGUGAACUAAUUGCAGUGAAGAAGGGGCAGUUAUUUCGAGAUAUACAGUGUUUAAGUCAGCGGAUUUGUUUAUAAAUGACAGUCGGCAUUGUACCUUAUUUAGGCGCUGUUGAAGGUGGUCAGCAUUAUGUUUCUUUUAUGCGGGUAACAACAUUACUGGGACAGUUUGACAUCGAUGUCCUAAGAACGGAAUACUCAAACUGAACCUGCUUCGCGUUUUAUGUGAGCCAGUAGUUUGUGCUGGAGAAAACGAGCCAAUGAUGUCAGGAAAGCAUUACAAGGGUCAAGAAGUCAGCUGCUGCAUUAAAUAUUUCAUAUUUGGAUUUAACAUAAUAUUUUGGUUGCUUGGAGUGGCUUUCCUUGGAAUCGGACUGUGGGCAUGGAAUGAGAAGGGAGUUCUCUCGAAUAUCUCCUCCAUCACAGAUCUGGGUGGAUUUGACCCAGUGUGGUUGUUUUUGGUGGUGGGAGGGGUGAUGUUCAUCCUGGGUUUUGCAGGCUGUAUCGGGGCCCUGAGGGAAAACACCCUCCUGCUCAAGUUUUUUUCUGUGUUUCUGGGGAUAAUCUUCUUCCUGGAGCUGACUGCCGGAAUCCUGGCUUUUGUCUUUAAAGACUGGAUUAAAGAUCAGCUCAACUUUUUCAUCAACAACAACAUACGAGCCUACAGAGAUGACAUUGAUUUGCAGAACCUGAUCGACUUCACUCAGGAAUAUUGGGAAUGUUGUGGGGCGUUUGGAGCAGAUGACUGGAACCUCAACAUCUACUUCAAUUGCACAGACAGCAACCCCAGCCGAGAAAAAUGUGGCGUGCCCUUCUCUUGUUGCACCAAAGACCCAGCGGAGGAUGUUAUCAACACACAGUGUGGGUAUGACGUCCGAGCAAAAUCAGAUGCAGAACAGAAAACAUACAUUCAUGUGAAAGGCUGUGUGCCGCAGUUUGAGAAAUGGCUACAGGACAACCUGACGAUAGUGGCUGGGAUCUUCAUUGGAAUCGCGCUGCUGCAGAUAUUUGGAAUAUGCCUUGCACAAAAUUUAGUCAGCGAUAUUGAAGCUGUGAGAGCCAGCUGGGUGCCGCCCCUCUCUUACGUCGCCCGCCGCCCUCCGCCCCACUACAGCAAGAAAGCCUCGGCGUACUCCUGAGGGAGGCGUUCGUCUGUUUGUUCACAUGAAGUGGCAGCUAGUCGUUCAGACACUCACAGAAACAUCUCAUCUCCUCUCCGAUGAUGCGUUUACUGGCGUGAGGGCGGGGCAACCUGUCACUCACCUGAGAUCCACCAAUAGCAAACCACAACCAUCUAAUCAAUUCCCCAUGGACAAAAUCAAGUCCCACCUACUUUUUUUUUUCUCGUUUCAGAAGCCGUUUCAAUAGGGACAUUAUGGAACAAACAAUUAUAUGUCACAAUAUGGAAGAAAAGGCUAUCGCAACUUCUGUUUCAUGCUGACUUUAAUACCAACCUAACUAGAAAGAUUUCAUUUGAUAGAAAACAUAAUUGUGAUCUAGUCGCAUUGUCCAAACCUGUGUUACUUUUUCUUUGUAAACAGGCCUACGCCAGCUUGAUGAAGCUAGCGAAUGAUGAACACAAGAUGCUAAGUGCACUGGGUCGUGUGUGUGUGUGUGUGUGUGUGUACCAUAACCUUUUACUAUAUGUAAAUCGUGCUGUUUU
Molecule: RNA transcript, 1693 nt
Organism: Rhinichthys klamathensis goyatoka
Lineage: Eukaryota; Metazoa; Chordata; Actinopteri; Cypriniformes; Leuciscidae
Gene: tspan5a
Gene name: tetraspanin 5a
Exons: 11
Source: RefSeq, a predicted model, not a curated record